Molecule: regulatory RNA element, 46 nt
Organism: Otolemur garnettii (small-eared galago)
Lineage: Eukaryota; Metazoa; Chordata; Mammalia; Primates; Galagidae
Rfam family: Histone 3' UTR stem-loop
About the family: The mRNAs of metazoan histone genes lack a poly-A tail. 3' end processing occurs at a site between a highly conserved stem-loop (modelled by this family) and a purine rich region around 20 nts downstream (the histone downstream element, or HDE). The stem-loop is bound by a 31 kDa stem-loop binding protein (SLBP - also termed the histone hairpin binding protein, or HBP).
Source: Rfam
CCAAAGGCUCUUUUCAGAGCCACCCACAGCAGCACUUGGGAAGAAG